This 858-nucleotide ribosomal RNA is filed under the name cf. Epicoccum sp. DAF-841. RNAcentral describes it as "eukaryotic LSU rRNA". The stretch from base 393 to 858 matches the Rfam family "Eukaryotic large subunit ribosomal RNA", at positions 1 to 464 of the family's 3401-position model. Lineage: Eukaryota; Fungi; Ascomycota; Dothideomycetes; Pleosporales; Didymellaceae. The record is from RNAcentral.
GGCGGGUCCGCCCGCCGAUUGGACAACAUUCAAACCCUUUGCAGUUGCAAUCAGCGUCUGAAAAAACAUAAUAGUUACAACUUUCAACAACGGAUCUCUUGGUUCUGGCAUCGAUGAAGAACGCAGCGAAAUGCGAUAAGUAGUGUGAAUUGCAGAAUUCAGUGAAUCAUCGAAUCUUUGAACGCACAUUGCGCCCCUUGGUAUUCCAUGGGGCAUGCCUGUUCGAGCGUCAUUUGUACCUUCAAGCUCUGCUUGGUGUUGGGUGUUUGUCUCGCCUCUGCGUGUAGACUCGCCUUAAAACAAUUGGCAGCCGGCGUAUUGAUUUCGGAGCGCAGUACAUCUCGCGCUUUGCACUCACAACGACGACGUCCAAAAGUACAUUUUUACACUCUUGACCUCGGAUCAGGUAGGGAUACCCGCUGAACUUAAGCAUAUCAAUAAGCGGAGGAAAAGAAACCAACAGGGAUUGCCCUAGUAACGGCGAGUGAAGCGGCAACAGCUCAAAUUUGAAAUCUGGCGUCUUUGGCGUCCGAGUUGUAAUUUGCAGAGGGCGCUUUGGCAUUGGCAGCGGUCCAAGUUCCUUGGAACAGGACGUCACAGAGGGUGAGAAUCCCGUACGUGGUCGCUAGCCUUUACCGUGUAAAGCCCCUUCGACGAGUCGAGUUGUUUGGGAAUGCAGCUCUAAAUGGGAGGUAAAUUUCUUCUAAAGCUAAAUACUGGCCAGAGACCGAUAGCGCACAAGUAGAGUGAUCGAAAGAUGAAAAGCACUUUGGAAAGAGAGUUAAAAAGCACGUGAAAUUGUUGAAAGGGAAGCGCUUGCAGCCAGACUUGCCUGUAGUUGCUCAUCCGGGUUUUACC